Molecule: long non-coding RNA, 431 nt
Filed under: Vigna radiata
Lineage: Eukaryota; Viridiplantae; Streptophyta; Magnoliopsida; Fabales; Fabaceae
Description: long non-coding RNA (VRAD_LNC005408)
Source: RNAcentral
CUACGAUAUCUGAAUUCUCUUAGUAUUGAUGAUGAGGUGGAGUGUAUGCCUGAAAGGAAUACCUCAAAGACAGACAUGCCUAAGAGGAAAUCCACAAAGACAGACAUGCCUGAGAAGAACACCUUAAUGACAGACAUGCCUAAGAGGAAUACCACAAAGACAGACAUGCCUGAGAAGAACACCUUAAAGACAGACAUGCCUCAGAGGAAUACCAUAAAGACAGACAUGCCUAAGAGGAAUACCACAAAGACAGACAUGCCUCGAAAGAACACCUUAAAGACAGACAUGCCUCAGAAGAAUACCUUAGAGACAGACAUGCCUAAGUGGAAUACCACAGAGACCUCAAAGACAGACAUGCCUACGAGGAAUACCACAAAGAUAUAUAUGCCUGAGAAGAACACCUCAAAGAGAGACAUGCCUAAGAGGAAAAC